This is a non-coding RNA of Canis lupus familiaris (dog), 99 nucleotides long. The record is from Rfam. NCBI's taxonomy places the organism in Eukaryota, Metazoa, Chordata, Mammalia, Carnivora, Canidae.
AGGAGGAACAACCACAGUGGUGGUGGCCAGCUCUGGAGCCCUGGAUUCAGCUCCCGCAGGAACUACUCCGUCUGCAGGGCCUGGAUGUUCCGGGGCGGG